This 775-nucleotide ribosomal RNA is filed under the name uncultured bacterium. RNAcentral's name for it is "bacterial SSU rRNA". It matches the Rfam family "Bacterial small subunit ribosomal RNA", at positions 73 to 860 of the family's 1533-position model. The record is from RNAcentral.
GGCCACUUCGGUGGUACUCGAGCGGCGAACGGGUGAGUAACACGUGAGUAAUCUGCCCUUCACUCUGGGAUAGCCACCGGAAACGGUGAUUAAUACCGGAUACGACCACUCCAGGCAUCUGGUGGUGGUGGAAACUUUUUUGGGUGGGGGAUGUGCUCGCGGCCUAUCAGCUUGUUGGUGGGGUAAUGGCCUACCAAGGCUUCGACGGGUAGCCGGCCUGAGAGGGUGACCGGCCACACUGGGACUGAGACACGGCCCAGACUCCUACGGGAGGCAGCAGUGGGGAAUAUUGGACAAUGGGCGGAAGCCUGAUCCAGCAACGCCGCGUGAGGGAUGACGGCCUUCGGGUUGUAAACCUCUUUCAGCACCGACGAAGCGCAAGUGACGGUAGGUGCAGAAGAAGGACCGGCCAACUACGUGCCAGCAGCCGCGGUAAUACGUAGGGUCCGAGCGUUGUCCGGAAUUAUUGGGCGUAAAGGGCUCGUAGGCGGUUUGUCGCGUCGGGAGUGAAAACACCGGGCUUAACUCGGUGCUUGCUUUCGAUACGGGCAGACUUGAGGUAUGCAGGGGAGAACGGAAUUCCUGGUGUAGCGGUGAAAUGCGCAGAUAUCAGGAGGAACACCGGUGGCGAAGGCGGUUCUCUGGGCAUUACCUGACGCUGAGGAGCGAAAGUGUGGGGAGCGAACAGGAUUAGAUACCCUGGUAGUCCACACCGUAAACGUUGGGCGCUAGGUGUGGGAUCCAUUCCACGGGUUCCGUGCCGUAGCUAACGCAU